RNAcentral lists this ribosomal RNA (468 nucleotides) under uncultured bacterium. Its description in RNAcentral is "partial 16S ribosomal RNA". It matches the Rfam family "Bacterial small subunit ribosomal RNA", at positions 28 to 507 of the family's 1533-position model. The record is from RNAcentral.
GACGAACGCUGGCGGCGUGCUUAACACAUGCAAGUCGAACGGAAAGGCCCUGCUCUUGUGGGGUGCUCGAGUGGCGAACGGGUGAGUAACACGUGAGUAACCUGCCCUUGACUUUGGGAUAACUUCAGGAAACUGGGGCUAAUACCGGAUAGGAGCUCCUGCUGCAUGGUGGGGGUUGGAAAGUUUCGGCGGUUGGGGAUGGACUCGCGGCUUAUCAGCUUGUUGGUGGGGUAGUGGCUUACCAAGGCUUUGACGGGUAGCCGGCCUGAGAGGGUGACCGGCCACAUUGGGACUGCGAUACGGCCCAGACUCCUACGGGAGGCAGCAGUGGGGAGUAUUGCACAAUGGGGGGAAGCCUGAUGCAGCAACGCCGCGUGCGGGAUGACGGCCUUCGGGUUGUAAACCGCUUUCGCCUGUGACGAAGCGUGAGUGACGGUAAUGGGUAAAGAAGCACCGGCUAACUACGUG